CCAAUGAGGUUGGUUUCCAAGUCAGGACCGAGUCCAAAUGAAAGACACAAUAGAAUCUUCUUCAAGACCACUUAGUUACCUGUUCAUAAUGUAUACAAUGC
Molecule: long non-coding RNA, 101 nt
Organism: Etheostoma spectabile (orangethroat darter)
Lineage: Eukaryota; Metazoa; Chordata; Actinopteri; Perciformes; Percidae
Exons: 3
Source: RefSeq, a predicted model, not a curated record